AUUCUUAUUUGGUAAGGGUAGUGUCAUGAUCAUGAAAGUGGUUUUCCCAGGGCCAAGGCUCAUCUAUUGCACUCCAGAUGUGCCGAUCCCCUGAGAUUUCACCAAAUGUGGGAAACUUGAUUGCAUAAUUUAUGGUGGUGAUGAACUGUGUUUGCUCUUUCUCCAG
RNAcentral lists this small nuclear RNA (166 nucleotides) under Cebus imitator (Panamanian white-faced capuchin). RNAcentral's name for it is "U1 spliceosomal RNA (ENSCCAG00000020312.1)". It matches the Rfam family "U1 spliceosomal RNA". Rfam says of the family: U1 is a small nuclear RNA (snRNA) component of the spliceosome (involved in pre-mRNA splicing). Its 5' end forms complementary base pairs with the 5' splice junction, thus defining the 5' donor site of an intron. Lineage: Eukaryota; Metazoa; Chordata; Mammalia; Primates; Cebidae. The record is from Rfam by way of RNAcentral.